RNAcentral lists this ribosomal RNA (493 nucleotides) under uncultured bacterium. Its description in RNAcentral is "bacterial SSU rRNA". It matches the Rfam family "Bacterial small subunit ribosomal RNA", at positions 802 to 1298 of the family's 1533-position model. The record is from RNAcentral.
GUAAACGAUGAAUACUAGGUGUGGGGGGACUGACCCCCUCCGUGCCGCAGUUAACACAAUAAGUAUUCCACCUGGGGAGUACGGCCGCAAGGUUGAAACUCAAAGGAAUUGACGGGGGCCCGCACAAGCGGUGGAUUACGUGGUUUAAUUCGAAGCAACGCGAAGAACCUUACCGGGGCUUGACAUCUGACUAACGAGGCAGAGAUGCGUUAGGUGCCCUUCGGGGAAAGUCAAGACAGGUGGUGCAUGGUUGUCGUCAGCUCGUGUCGUGAGAUGUUGGGUUAAGUCCCGCAACGAGCGCAACCCUUAUUGUUAGUUGCUACGCAAGAGCACUCUAGCAAGACUGCCGUUGACAAAACGGAGGAAGGUGGGGACGACGUCAAAUCAUCAUGCCCCUUAUGUCCCGGGCUACACACGUAAUACAAUGGCGGUCAACAGAGGGAAGCAAGUCCGCGAGGAGGAGCAAAUCCCCAAAAGCCGUCUCAGUUCGGAU